RNAcentral lists this transfer RNA (87 nucleotides) under Ephemerocybe angulata. RNAcentral describes it as "Coprinellus angulatus tRNA-Pro". It matches the Rfam family "tRNA". From Rfam's summary of the family: Transfer RNA (tRNA) molecules are approximately 80 nucleotides in length. Their secondary structure includes four short double-helical elements and three loops (D, anti-codon, and T loops). Lineage: Eukaryota; Fungi; Basidiomycota; Agaricomycetes; Agaricales; Psathyrellaceae. The record is from RNAcentral.
GGCCUGAUGGUCUAGUAGUAUGAUUCCUUGUUAGGGUGCUUAGUCAUCAAAUCGAGGAGGUCCCGGGUUCAAUUCCCGGUCAGGCCC